This 427-nucleotide ribosomal RNA is filed under the name uncultured bacterium. Its description in RNAcentral is "partial 16S ribosomal RNA". It matches the Rfam family "Bacterial small subunit ribosomal RNA", at positions 338 to 795 of the family's 1533-position model. The record is from RNAcentral.
CCUACGGGAGGCUGCAGUGGGGAAUCUUGCGCAAUGGGCGAAAGCCUGACGCAGCAACGCCGCGUGGGGGACGAAGGCCUUCGGGUUGUAAACCCCUUUCAGCAGGGACGCGGUACCUGCAGAAGAAGCCCCGGCCAACUACGUGCCAGCAGCCGCGGUAAUACGUAGGGGGCGAGCGUUGUCCGGAUUUAUUGGGCGUAAAGAGCUCGUAGCGGUUUGGCAAGUCGGGUGUGAAAACUCCGGGCUCAACUCGGAGACGCCACUCGAUACUGCCAGACUCGAGUCCGGUAGGGGAGUGCGGAAUUCCUGGUGUAGCGGUGAAAUGCGCAGAUAUCAGAGGAACACCGGUGGCGAAGGCGCACUCUGGGCCGGACUGACGCUGAGGACGAAAGCGUGGGGAGCGAACAGGAUUAAUACCCUUGUAGUC